Molecule: unclassified non-coding RNA, 642 nt
Filed under: Hevea brasiliensis (rubber tree)
Lineage: Eukaryota; Viridiplantae; Streptophyta; Magnoliopsida; Malpighiales; Euphorbiaceae
Source: RNAcentral
GGCUAAAAAAUCCUAAAGCAAAAUUCUUUCCCUUGGAGAUUAAAAGAUUACCAUCUUGAAUAGUUUGGUUUACAGUUAUGGUAUCUUUGGAAGAACAAACAGUAAAGUGGAGGAUUAGGAAAAAAGAUUGCAGAAACAACUUCUGAGAAUCCAUACCGUUUCUACUGCUCAUCAUUGAACUAACUGAAACUUAAAUGGGAAUUUGGUCAUACAUUCGAUUCACAAAAGUCCCUAUCCAAAUCAAAAUCAAGGGGAGAUGAAUGAAUAGCAGAGGCAAAGUAAUAAUAAAAUCAAUAAUUUAAAUUAACAAUAAACAAGCAAAGGUACAAUGUUAGCGUAAAAGUUUAGGGUUUUAUAUGCUUUGCAAGCAAAAAACAAAGGAACAGAAACCAUCAUUCAUUAUUAAUGCCGUGAGAGAAUUCAUUCGAGCAUUUCAUCGAAUGCAUGGAAUCCAUUCCGUGAGAUCCAAAACAACGAAAGUUCACAUACAUUAGUUCCCUUCCCCUGUGGCGUGCGGGAACGUGAAAGACAAGUUAUUUGAAAUUAUCAAAAAGGAUCAAUGAAGAAGACGCACAUAGCUAGUCUUCUACGGUUGCUGACGAAGAAGAAAGGAAGACUGGAAAAAUCCCAGUCAUUUCCCUU